This is a long non-coding RNA of Solanum stenotomum, 302 nucleotides long. RefSeq lists it as uncharacterized. Lineage: Eukaryota; Viridiplantae; Streptophyta; Magnoliopsida; Solanales; Solanaceae. The record is from RefSeq and is a predicted model, not a curated record. The transcript is spliced from 3 exons.
AAGAAGAAACAAACGCUAGUUGCUGCGUUUCUGUUUCCAGCGAAGGACCACGAAAGAGAAGAAAGAACGGAAUGGUGAGGGAGAAGAAGGAGAAAGAGACUUAUUCGAAGGUUUCGCUUCCAGGUUCGAGAGAAUACAGGGACAUUGGUAAGGACUUCUUUAUCUAGUGCUUUCGAGUUGAUAAUUUCCGGAUAGGCCCGAAAACAAAGGAAACUUUGCCCGAUUUUCUGUAGAUUUCUAGUUAAGGCUUGCUUUGGAAUUCUUCCCCUUAGCGCCGCUCACGAUUCUAAAUUGGGUCGUGA